GUGAGGGAUAUUGCACAAUGGGGGAAACCCUGAUGCAGCGACGCCGCGUGGGUGAUGAAGGUCUUCGGAUCGUAAAGCCCUUUUCUAGGUGACGAGCAAGGACGGUAGCCUAGGAAGAAGUCUCGGCUAACUACGUGCCAGCAGCCGCGGUAAAACGUAGGAGGCAAGCGUUAUCCGGAGUUACUGGGCGUAAAGCGCGUGCAGGUGGUGGUCCAAGUUCGGUGUGAAAGCCGUCGGCUCAACCGGGGGAUGGCACGGAAGACUGGGGCACUGGAGGCAGCUAGAGGAGCGUAGAAUUCCGGGUGUAGCGGUGAAAUGUGUAGAGAUCCGGAGGAAUACCAGUGGCGCAAGCGGCGCUCUGGGGCUGACCUGACACUGAGACGCGAAGGCGUGGGGAGCGAACGGGAUUAGAUACCCUUGUAGUCC
RNAcentral lists this ribosomal RNA (426 nucleotides) under uncultured Caldilineales bacterium. RNAcentral's name for it is "bacterial SSU rRNA". It matches the Rfam family "Bacterial small subunit ribosomal RNA", at positions 354 to 796 of the family's 1533-position model. Lineage: Bacteria; Bacillati; Chloroflexota; Caldilineae; Caldilineales. The record is from RNAcentral.